UACGGGGGGGGCAAGCGUUGUUCGGAAUUACUGGGCGUAAAGGGCGCGUAGGCGGCCUGCUAAGUCGGAUGUGAAAGCCCUUGGCUCAACUGAGGAAGUGCACCCGAAACUGAGUGGCUAGAGUACGAAAGAGGGUCGCGGAAUUCCUGGUGUAGCGGUGAAAUGCGCAGAUAUCAGGAAGAACACCAAUGGCGAAGGCAGCUCUCUGGGACGGUACUGACGCUGAGACGCGAAAGCGUGGGGAGCGAACAGG
Molecule: ribosomal RNA, 253 nt
Filed under: uncultured bacterium
Lineage: Bacteria
Description: partial 16S ribosomal RNA
Rfam family: Bacterial small subunit ribosomal RNA
Source: RNAcentral